Long non-coding RNA from Morus notabilis, 255 nucleotides. RefSeq lists it as uncharacterized. The record is from RefSeq and is a predicted model, not a curated record. Lineage: Eukaryota; Viridiplantae; Streptophyta; Magnoliopsida; Rosales; Moraceae. The transcript is spliced from 3 exons.
GUCUAAUGUUUUAAGACUCCUUUUUGUUGAGGGAUUGCGUAUUGAUUGUUCGUCCUUCUCUCCGGUUGAUUUCAUGCCGCAUAUGGAUAAAUCUUGAUUUUUUUCUGUUUCAUUUAUUGUAUUGAUGAGGUGGGCUCUGUAUAGUGGUGAUUUAUCUUGCCAGCUUGAUGAUUUGUACCGAUUUUGCUGCAGAGGUCAUAUCUCACGCUUAGGGCAGUGUUUCUAACGCUCCAGGUACUAUUAAUAACUUCUCCC